This 1142-nucleotide long non-coding RNA is filed under the name Ictidomys tridecemlineatus (thirteen-lined ground squirrel). RNAcentral describes it as "lncRNA (ENSSTOG00000033726.1)". The record is from RNAcentral. Lineage: Eukaryota; Metazoa; Chordata; Mammalia; Rodentia; Sciuridae.
ACCACGCGUGACGUCAGGGCCGCCGCGGAGCCGGCCAAACUCAAGUUGGUUCUGGGAAUUGUCAACAAAGGGACGAGAGACUCGCAACUCCGCACCGCACCACGCGCCCAGCAUCCAACCGGCCCCGAGGGCGCUCCGGCCCGCCUGGAGAUCCCUGCCCAGGCUGGAUCCCGGCGCUGGGGUCCAGUGAGGGUCAGAGGCAAAUGCUCCAAGAUUUAAGUUCCGCGGAAACCAGCGACAAAGCCAUUGAAGGAGGCGGUGAGAAUGUGGCCAGUAUACACGGAGUUUCUCUGGCAAAGAAAGUCAGUGAUGGCAUUGCGACACAGAUUGACUUUCAUCUCGGUUAGACAGUUCCCUUGGAUUUAACACUAGCUCUUUGGAUCCCUAAUUCGCAGAACGUUCCCGAUUGGGGAUAGGGACAGGUUUGGGGCAGUGACUGUCCUGAGACUCCCUCCAACCUCCAAGGCCUUUCGGUUUCUAUGUGAUCUCCAUAACCCUAAAACGCAUUUGAGUUCAUUUCCGCAGCUGCAUCGUUUUGUGGCCCGCAGGCUCGGAACCGUUUUACAAUGCCGUCUAGACAGUCUACCACGAAAUCAACUGCGAGCUGCGAGCUAGCUGCCCAUCACCCCAGGCUUCAGAGGUCGAGGUUGCAACUGCCCGAGCAACCUAAAGGAAGGUCCUAAAGGGGGUGAGGUUGGGCAAAACAAAACUGAAAUUUAAAAAUGUAGAAACUCCUUUUGCCCAUCUUGGGUCGCUCAGCUCCAGAGGCAAGCUCUGGGCACCACACGGGUCCCACUGCGGCCUGGGUGGCUGGCCUGCAAGGUGCAUGGGUGCGUAUGCACGGAGAGGAUGGGGACUCCAGGGCUGCCCUCACUGGUCAUUCUGAAGUGAUCUCCUAAUGAACCUAAUUUCGAUUCCACUGCCCGCCCGAGCUGGCUCUCGGGACUUCCUAAACGCGGUUGAUUGCAGCUUCUCACCCUCCCUCUGCCAAGGCCGGGUCUGAGCUGUCCAUUCUCUUGUGUCUCCUUGGAAGCUCCCUGGAGAAGGGGGGUGGUGAACAACUCCCAGCUGCCGGUUCCAUUUGUUGCGCUUUUUUCCUUCGACACAAUAAAAGUCAAAUUAAUUGAUUCAUACCAUUAAUU